UGUGUUUUCUUGAGAAAACUUUGAAGAGGGUUUGGAGAUUGACGGAUGAAAUUGAAGCACUGAUAGAGAUUAAAAAUGGUUUUGUAGAGGGUUUGGUACUUAGAUGCAACAUAGGACUGAAAAAAAUGAUAAACUUUGACAAUGGAGGAUGACAAUGGAGGAUGAUAAUGGAGAGAAGAAGUUGAACCAGAGAAAUCGGUAAAGGGGAAAACUGAUCGGUUUUGGAAAAAAGAGAAAAAUACUUGGUAAAUAAACGUGGGGGUAAUUAAAAAGGGUAAAAUACGGUUGGAAGAAAGAGAAAAAAGUGGGGAAAAAAAAUAUGAAAAGAUUUUGUUCCACAAAUCANNNNNNNNNNNNNNNNNNNNNNNNNNNNNNNNNNNNNNNNAGAUAUGGAAAUAUUUUGUUCCACAAAUCAAGCCCCUAAUAAAUCAUUGAUAAUUAAAUCUUAAAAGUAAAUUUUGGUACAUAAAUUGAAACAUGGUAUGCUUAAAUGUAAUAAAUACUAACCUUAAACAUGAGUGGUUAUAAGGUUUGUUAUAUGGAAUGUAUAUAUAAAAAUCCCUUUUUUCAAUAAGCAGGAAAACACAAAUAGGCUCAAACGUGAAGCCCAAAAAUCGAGACGUACCCAGCAGAGGAAACUUGGCACAACUGGGCCAAUACUAUUAUAACGAAAAUACAAUGCUUUAAGCACUAGUCGUUGCAGGAAAACCACAUUGUAACGAAAAUUCAGAAUAUCGACAACCAAUUAUAAACAAUUUGUUGAGACUAUUUCAUCAUUUUAAACCAUCCUAUCAAAUUCCCAGCAAAAGAAAGCAAUUUCAAAGUUUCAGAUAGGUUUUAUUUACCUGCCGAGUUCUGAUUUCAUGCUAACAUACUUAAGCAAAUCAUAUGAUUUAGGCUUGCAAUAGAAAAACCAAAUGAAAAGAAGUGAUCUAAAUCUGAGAAUUCCAUAAGUCAAGUUCAUGUUUCAUUUAAGAUUUUAUUAAACUCCAAGAUGUUCAUAUGUGAGAAAGGCAGGAUCGUAUGGGAAAAACUGAAACCGUUAAAAUAUACCUCAAUUUGCUCGCAAGCAAAUCUAAAGAAACGAUUAAGGGGGAAUAAAAUUAGACCAAAAUUGCUGAACCUACAAGAUGAGUAAACCAAACUAAUAAGCAUCCUAUCCAUAACUAUAAAACACUUUCAAAGACCAGCUAGCCUCGUCAGCAAGCUUAAUAGUCACCAUCCUCAAUUACACAUGUUAUGCUAGAAUGAAAAUUCUUGAAUCAACCAUAGUCAUAUAAAAUCUCAACUCCAAAUCUCAGAACAAGAAGGUAAUACAAAUUACUACACUUAAGAAGCUAGACUAGAAGGUCACCAAACCAAAAAUACAGUAAGAUCACAUAUGAGUAACAAGGAAUUAACAUUUGUCAACUUCUUCAACUUGAAUUAAAUAAUUCAACACCACAGCUUAGCCAAAAACUUCAUUUCCAUUCAUGGUAUGAAGAGAGUAGAUGGAUACAACAUUCAAAACAGAAGGAAAAGAAGUGAUUAAGGAUCAAAACUUUAGUCUAUAGUAGCAAUAAUUGCAACAAACAAUAGAACAGUGCACAACAAACUUCAAUUUUUUGACUCAGAUCCACACUUUGGGAAUCGAGAUUUGAAUUACUCUAUUGAACCUUGAAAUUCUGAUUUGUCAUAGUAAUUUAGGACUCCAAAAACCAAGCAAGCUCCAAAAAUUUUUUAGCCUCUUUUCACUUGAGAGAAUACUUAGCCAUUUCUAUUUUUUUUCCAGAAU
RNAcentral lists this long non-coding RNA (1774 nucleotides) under Nicotiana benthamiana. RNAcentral describes it as "long non-coding RNA (NBEN_LNC007906)". The record is from RNAcentral. Lineage: Eukaryota; Viridiplantae; Streptophyta; Magnoliopsida; Solanales; Solanaceae.